GACGAACGCUGGCGGCGUGCUUAACACAUGCAAGUCGAACGAAGAGCGAUGGAAGCUUGCUUCUAUCAAUCUUAGUGGCGAACGGGUGAGUAACGCGUAAUCAACCUGCCCUUCAGAGGGGGACAACAGUGGGAAACGACUGCUAAUACCGCAUACGAUCUAAUCUCGGCAUCGAGGACAGAUGAAAGGUGGCCUCUACAUGUAAGCUCUCACUGAAGGAGGGGAUUGCGUCUGAUUAGCUAGUUGGGGGGGGAACGGCCCACCCAGGCGAUGAUCAGUAGCCGGUCUGAGGGGAUGGACGGCCACAUUGGGACUGAGACACGGCCCAGACUCCUACGGGAGGCAGCAGGGGGGAAUCUUCCGCAAUGGGCGGAAGUCUGACGGAGCAACGCCGCGUGAGGGAUGACGGCCGUCGGGUUGGAAAGCUCUGUUAGUCGGGACGAAAGGCCUUCUUGCGAAUAGGGAGAAGGAUUGACGGUACCGGAAUAGAAAGCCACGGCUAACUACGUG
RNAcentral lists this ribosomal RNA (510 nucleotides) under uncultured bacterium. Its description in RNAcentral is "partial 16S ribosomal RNA". It matches the Rfam family "Bacterial small subunit ribosomal RNA", at positions 28 to 507 of the family's 1533-position model. The record is from RNAcentral.